RNAcentral lists this ribosomal RNA (243 nucleotides) under uncultured bacterium. RNAcentral describes it as "partial 16S ribosomal RNA". It matches the Rfam family "Bacterial small subunit ribosomal RNA", at positions 524 to 766 of the family's 1533-position model. The record is from RNAcentral.
UACGUAGGGGGCAAGCGUUGUCCGGAAUUAUUGGGCGUAAAGAGCUCGUAGGCGGUCUGUCGCGUCGGCUGUGAAAACCCGGAGCUCAACUCCGGGCCUGCAGUCGAUACGGGCAAACUGGAGUGUUGCAGGGGAGACUGGAAUUCCUGGUGUAGCGGUGAAAUGCGCAGAUAUCGGGAGGAACACCAAUUGCGAAGGCAGCUCGCUGGGACGUCACUGACGCUGAGACGCGAAAGCGUGGGG